AGGACGAACGCUGGCGGCGUGCUUAACACAUGCAAGUCGAACGGAGUGCUCAUGACAGAGGUUUCGGCCAAUAGAUUGAGUUACUUAGUGGCGGACUGGUGAGUAACGCGUGAGUAACCUGCCUUCAAGAGGGGGAUAACAUUCUGAAAAGAAUGCUAAUACCGCAUGACAUAUGAUUGUCGCAUGGCAGACAUAUCAAAGAUUUAUCGCUUGAAGAUGGACUCGCGUCCCGAUUAGUUAGUUGGUGAGGUAACGGCCCACCAAGUCGACGAUCAGUAGCCGGACUGAGAGGUUGACCGGCCACAUUGGGACUGAGAUACGGCCCAGACUCCUACGGGAGACAGCAGUGGGGAAUAUUGGGCAAUGGGGGAAACCCUGACCCAGCAACGCCGCGUGAAGGAAGAAGGCUUUCGGGUUGUAAACUUCUUUUACCAGGGACGAAGGACGUGACGGUACCUGGAGAAAAAGCCACGGCUAACUACGUG
RNAcentral lists this ribosomal RNA (485 nucleotides) under uncultured bacterium. RNAcentral's name for it is "bacterial SSU rRNA". It matches the Rfam family "Bacterial small subunit ribosomal RNA", at positions 26 to 507 of the family's 1533-position model. The record is from RNAcentral.